Pimephales promelas (fathead minnow) is the source of this 653-nucleotide non-coding RNA. The record is from RefSeq and is a predicted model, not a curated record. Lineage: Eukaryota; Metazoa; Chordata; Actinopteri; Cypriniformes; Leuciscidae.
GACCGCGGGCAAAGUUGCUUCUUAGAGCCGGAUUUCGGGUGUGUGGAAGCCAUUCUGACACUUAUGUGGUAAAACUUAAACUUAAAAACGAAAAUUAUGUUUUGCUUGAUGUCAAAAAAGCUGUUAACGUAACGUUAUUUUUAGUUACCAUCUGGCAUUAACUGGUAGGCAAAUGAAUAUGUCGGAGCCGUCACGUUUAUCAUUUUAUGCAUAUCGUCACACAUUGAAAGAGUUAGUUAAGACUCGUGGAGGUUCUCGAUUGUAGUGUCCUUGUUGUAAUGGGCUUAUUUACUUUUAUUUGUCAUGAUGCGGUUUAUUUCUUGCCGAGCGAAUCCGUUAACUAGUUGUGAUAGUUCUAACGUUAGCUAGUGUUUUUAGAGCAAUUUAAUGCCUUCAAGCAAAAGCAACCAGAGGAAUCGUCAAGAAAAGUAAACGCCAUUAAGACUUGCUUGAUUUGAAAGGCAUGAAGACACAACGUGAAGAGACUGUUUGUGAAUAUGCAGUAACUUGACCGGUACAGCUGGAUCAAGGAAAACACCAGCACCUUUUCUGCAAAAUGAGGACUUUUCUGCUGUAGUUUACAUCCCAAGCACCACCUGCAUGCUUCUUAUGGGUGGUGGACAUUCAGGGUUGCUGUCAUUCAAGAAGUUAUU